This is a long non-coding RNA of Peromyscus leucopus (white-footed mouse), 1255 nucleotides long. RefSeq lists it as uncharacterized. The transcript has 2 exons. The record is from RefSeq and is a predicted model, not a curated record. Lineage: Eukaryota; Metazoa; Chordata; Mammalia; Rodentia; Cricetidae.
GGAUGAAAACAUUAGAUGGUUUCCCUCCUUCCUGUCCGCAGCUCCAUCCAUUGCUGCUGACAGGGUUAUUAUGCUGCUGCCCGGCCAGUGCAUUACCAGAAGUGGUUGCUUUCAGGGAGCCUGCUGGAGGAUAUAAAAACACAGCUACAAGAUAGUAGGGCCACUGUGAACAAUGGAUAAUUGAAUAGGAAACUCUCAGAGCUGGUGUUAUGACUAACCCACAAUGUGUUAAUGACCUCAUCUUUGAAGAAAUAAUAUUCUCCAGUUUUUGCUUCUGUUUCAGAUCUACUACCUUCCCUUUCUGGGAACGGAAGUACUGAGGUAGAGAGGAUGCAGCGAAGCCCUCUCUAUGUAUUGGUGGCCGUGGAUCAUCUUAAGCUGUAAGACCUGAUCUCCAACAAUAUUUAUUGACCUCGUGUUGUUAGGCAGAAGGGGAGCAAAGGCAAAUCAUUUGGAAAGCUCGAACCCCACCUGGAGUGGCAGGGUAUGAAGAGAGGCAUCCAUUGUGAAGGAAGUGCUGAUGAGUGAGUUCAGAGGAAGGAGGAAGUGACCAUUUUCAGAGGACAGGAGGGAGUCAUCACAGAGCAAGGCACCUUGGAGCUCAGUUUCAAAGGAUGUAUGAGACCAUCAGAAUGGUAAAGGUGAUUCCAAUUCUAAGAAAUGGCUUGAACAACGUUAAUGCCCAAAGUGAAUAGAAUCCAGGCAUGGCCAGGAGUGUGGAUUGGACUGUUUCUCAAAGACAGUCAGUCACAGAAACUUCUCUCCUUGACCAGGUAGGAUUUGCACUUGAGAUCUUGAUGUAAGUGACACUAGGUGACUUCCUUCAGGAGCCCCGAGCCUCUGGAUGCCCCUCAAACUUCUGCAUCAGAAAGAAGUCCAAAUGAGGUUCCUCCACAAGGUCAAAAGAAGAGGCCUCAACUCAACAAGAAAAGGAAGCUCUGAUCAAGCCAAGGCUGCUUUGCCAACAACCACAGUCGAAGUGUAGUAUUUGGGACCCAGAGCAUCCAUGAGGACAGUGAAUUCUGAAGCCAUUGAUGGAGACAGAGUCUUGGAUCUAAUGACCAAUGCUGCUUCUAACAGUGAACCAGGAUCCAUCCUGUACUAAGUGAAACUGCAAUUAGACGUCUCAAUAUCAUCAUUUUACCCAAGUAAUAUAAACUCCUUGUAUUGAAAUACCUUUGUAUGUAGAUAGAGUAGAGGCCUUGCUCUUGUCUGGUUGAUGAUCCAAUAAAGAGCCCACUCAAAGUUUCUCUGA